Molecule: ribosomal RNA, 1260 nt
Filed under: Triticum aestivum (bread wheat)
Lineage: Eukaryota; Viridiplantae; Streptophyta; Magnoliopsida; Poales; Poaceae
Description: partial small subunit ribosomal RNA
Source: RNAcentral
AUGUGGCGGGCGAGGCGGUGGCCGCGGCCGCGAUGGUUCUCGUCCGACACCGCGGCAGUGGGCGCCGAUUCGGGCAAUCCGGCGCGGCGUCGGGUGGCGGCGCUGUGGGGGAACGGGGACCACGGCCGGCUGGGGCUGGGGGCGCUGGAGUCGCGGUGGAGCCCCACGGCGUGCCCCUUCUUCCUCACGCGCCCCGCCGACCCGCCUACCUCGCUCGCCUGCGGCGGCGCCCACACCCUCUUCCUCACCGAGGGUGGGCGCGUAUUUGCUACGGGGCUGAACGACUUUGGGCAGCUCGGGAUAGGCUCCUCGAUGCCUCAUACUCUGGACCCUGUUGAAGUCUCUGGAUUUCACGAGAAAGUUGUACAAAUUUCAGCUGGCAACCAUCAUUCUUGUGCAGUAACAGCCGAUGGUGAGCUCUUCGUUUGGGGCAAAAAUUCGAGUGGCCAGCUUGGCCUUGGCAAAAGUGCAGGAAAAGUAGUCUCUACCCCAAGAAAGGUUGACUACUUGGCUGAUGUUAGAGUGAAAAUGACUGCUUUGGGAUCAGAGCACUCAAUUGUUGUUACAGAGGAUGGUGAAGCCUUGAGUUGGGGAGCUGCUGGUGCUGGUAGACUUGGACAUGGCCAUAAAUCUAGCUUCCUGGGAUUCGCUAUGACCUCAAAUGAAUAUACUCCAAGGUUGAUAAAAAACCUUGAUGGUAUCAAGAUUAAAAGGAUAGCUGCGGGAAUGCUGCACUCAGCUUGCAUUGAUGAAAAAGGUACUGUGUUCAUGUUUGGGCAGAAGACUGAGAAGGUACUUGGAAGAUCAAAUGAUGCACCUAGACCAAGUGCUGUUGAAGAGAUACAAUUUUCAGAAGAAGUUGCUUGUGGAGGUUAUCAUACUUGCGCCGUAACAGAUCGUGGAGAUUUGUACUCUUGGGGUUCAAAUGAAAAUGGCUGCCUUGGUCUUGGAGGUACAGGCAUGGUUCGCUUCCCAGAAGUUGUAAGAAGUUCAUUAUUUAAGCUUCCUGUAUCUAAGGUAUCCUGUGGUUGGAAGCACACAGCUGCAAUUUCAGGUGAAGAUAUCUACACGUGGGGCUGGGGAGGUGCCAACGGUACCUUCUUCGAAGAGGGCCAUUCUUCUGGCGGGCAAUUAGGGCAUGGAAACGACGUCGACUAUUGCGAGCCGAUGAUGGUAGAACUUGGCAAGAAUGCAAGUGCUGUUCAUGUAUCAUGUGGCUUCAAUCAUACAGGCGCGAUACUCGAGUACGUGGAAAACUGA